GCUGGUUUGUGAUAUUUUAUUGAUAUUUGUGAAGAAAGGGUACAAAAUCUCCCACUCUGCAAAAAAAUCAUCUGAUCUGUAUCUACAUUGUCUUAUAGUUUACAGGAAAUUUUCACCCCAACCCCUUCAUUUUUUUAGUAACAAAAAACAGACUGAACUGUUUGUUUGUGUUGAAAAGUUUGUUUUGUCAAUUUUGGUCAUACAUUUCAAAGAAUAAUCCUCCUUGCAAAAUUGCUCAUUGGCUAAUAACUCAUGAUUGACAAGUUGUUAGCCAAAGAGCAAGCAGUUCCACAGUCUGACCUCAGCCUCUUUGUCACAUUCAUUUUUGUUGUUUUUAAACCAGGAUUGCAUCUGUGAAACUGCUAAUCACAGAGCACGGCACUUCAGAAACCAAUGGAUGGCAUCACGUGUUGUGUGGAGUGCAAUAAAAGUAGGCUAUCUUUAGAUUCUGCCAAAACACAGCUGAUGGGUUGUUGUUUUUAAAGCCUCACAGACAUUGGUUCCUGGCCUUUGGAAGUUAUAUGGACUAACUCCCUGGGUCUGCUCUCCACUGAACCAAUAAAAGGUCAGGUUCAUGGUCACAAAGGGCCUGGCAGAACCACACUGGAGCCAAACAUUUAAGCCAAUCCAUGUUGAAAUUUAGUGCCAAAACCGC
This is a long non-coding RNA of Oreochromis aureus, 655 nucleotides long. NCBI's taxonomy places the organism in Eukaryota, Metazoa, Chordata, Actinopteri, Cichliformes, Cichlidae. The record is from Ensembl.